CUACGAAUAUGAUUAUGGAAUUAUAUGACCACAGAUACUCCCAAGAUGCUCUUGCCAUUCCCAUUUUGCAGAGGAGAGAGCUGAGGUUUACCAAAAGUAAGUUGCUCAGUGGUGGAUGCCAGAAAUUCAGCUUGGCAGUUUGACUCAAGAUCUGAUGCUCCCAGCCAGUAAGUGCAAGAUGCAUCAAAAUCAACAUCUCACUUUCCAGGAUAGCAUGUUGUCCCUUAACUAGUUUAAAUUGGGUUGACAGAUGAAGUGAACUCCUCCUACCCACCUGAGGCAGACUGUGCCAUGUGAUGAUCAAAUCUCUGGAUUCCCAGGAAGACUACAAUUUUCAAUAUCCUUUGAAAUAGAUGGCAACAUAUAACUGAAUUCUAGCCAAUGGAAUACAGCUGGAUGUGUAGGAAUAAUCCGACUGAGGACCUGGAGGCUCUAGAAGGUGGUGGAGUCCAUUGACAGGUGGAUCCAGGCUUCUCAAUGACUUCAGGUAGACCCUCCCUAUGGCAUUGCAUUGAACUGUGAGUUGAACAGUAAUAAUCAUUUUGCAUUAAGUCACUAUAACGUGGGAAUUGUUUGUUAUAACUGUAGG
Mustela erminea (ermine) is the source of this 589-nucleotide long non-coding RNA. RefSeq lists it as uncharacterized. The transcript is spliced from 4 exons. Lineage: Eukaryota; Metazoa; Chordata; Mammalia; Carnivora; Mustelidae. The record is from RefSeq and is a predicted model, not a curated record.